Molecule: transfer RNA, 27 nt
Filed under: Sporophila angolensis
Lineage: Eukaryota; Metazoa; Chordata; Aves; Passeriformes; Thraupidae
Description: partial tRNA-Glu
Source: RNAcentral
UAGAUCUCGGAGAGAGGCCGAGUAGGA